Molecule: ribosomal RNA, 361 nt
Filed under: uncultured bacterium
Lineage: Bacteria
Description: partial 16S ribosomal RNA
Rfam family: Bacterial small subunit ribosomal RNA
Source: RNAcentral
CCUACGGGUGGCAGCAGUGAGGAAUAUUGGUCAAUGGGCUUACGCCUGAACCAGCAAAGUCGCGUGAGGGAAGACUGCCCUAUGGGUUGUAAACCUCUUUUGUCAGGGAGCAAUUGGCGCUUCGUGUAGCGUUAUCGAGAGUAUCUGAAGAAAAAGCAUGGGCUAACUCCGUGCCAGCAGCCGCGGUAAUACGGAGGAUGCGAGCGUUAUCCGGAUUUAGUGGGCUUAAAGGGUGCGUAGGCGGAAUGCCAAGUCAGAGGUAAAAUCGCGGGGCUCAACCUCGCUCCGCGGUUGACACUGGCGUUCUUGAGGGGGCGAGAGGUAUGCGGAAUGCGGGGUGUAGCGGUGAAAUGCAUAGAUA